AAAAUAUAAUUUAUAAUAUAAACUAUUAUAUAUGUAUGUAUUUUACUAAUUUUCUUGAGGAUAAGCUCAAGAAAAAGUUAAGGAUUUUUUAGUUAAAUUUGCUGUAUAGGCUUAAGAUUGGCCAUUACAAGAGUUUUUUAUAAAAUAGCAAUUUUAAUUUUAUAGAUAAAUAUAAUUAUAAACUAACUUCUUACGGGGAUAAGAACUUUAACUUAAAUAAGUUUUAUGCCUAUGCUAGAAUGAGUAUUAAAACUCAACUAUAAAAGAUCUAUCUAUAUUGUAUCUUCUCUCAAAAAAAUAAAAAAAAUAAAUUAAUUAGAAGGAACUCGGCAAAUUCAGUUGUUCCGCCUGUUUAUCAAAAACAUGGCUCUUUGAUCAUACAAAUAUAGAGAGUCGAGCCUGCCCAGUGAAAAUUUUUCAACGGCCGCGGUACCCUGACCGUGCGAAGGUAGCAUAAUCAUUUGCCUUAUAAUUGAAGGCUAGUAUGAAUGGUUUGACGAGAACAACAUUGUCUCCUUUUUACUCUCAAGAAUUUAACUUUUAGGUGAAGAGGCCUAAAUUUUAUUGAAGGACAAGAAGACCCUGUCGAGCUUAAAAGAUAUUAUAGAGUCUUAUAUAUUUUUAAAUAAAUUUUCUAUUAAGGUUUUUAGUUGGGGCGACUAAGGAACAAAAAAAGCUUCUUGUUGAUGGCAAACAGUCAUGUUUAGAUCCAGCAAAUGGCUGAUCAAAGGAAUUAGUUACCGCAGGGAUAACAGCAUAAUCUCUCUUGAGAGACCUAAUCGAAAGAGGGGGUUGUGACCUCGAUGUUGGACUAGAAUAUCCUAAAGGUGCAGAAGCCUUUAAGG
This 845-nucleotide ribosomal RNA is filed under the name Semisulcospira reiniana. RNAcentral describes it as "partial 16S ribosomal RNA". It matches the Rfam family "Archaeal large subunit ribosomal RNA", at positions 1478 to 2639 of the family's 2987-position model. The record is from RNAcentral. Lineage: Eukaryota; Metazoa; Mollusca; Gastropoda; Semisulcospiridae.